GACGAACGCUGGCGGCGUGCUUAACACAUGCAAGUCGAACGGUGAAGGUGGGAGCUUGCUCCUGCUGGAUCAGUGGCGAACGGGUGAGUAACACGUGAGUAACCUGCCCUUGACUCUGGGCUAAGCGUUGGAAACGACGUCUAAUACCGGAUCCGAGCUUCAGCCGCAAGGCUAGCAGUUGGCAAGAUUUUUCGGUUAAGGGUGGACUCGCGGCAUAUCAGCUUGUUGGUGAGGUAAGGGCUCACCAAGGCGACGACGGGUAGCCGGCCUGGGAGGGUGACAGGCCACACUGGGACUGAGACACGGCCCAGACUCCUACGGGAGACAGCAGUGGGGAAUAUUGCACAAUGGGCGCAAGCCUGAUGCAGCAGCGCCGCGUGAGGGACGACGGCCUUCGGGUUGUAAACCUCUUUUAGCAGGGAAGAAGCGCAAGUGACGGUACCGGCAGAAAACGCACCGGCUAACUACGUGCCAGCAGCCGCCCGUAA
RNAcentral lists this ribosomal RNA (488 nucleotides) under uncultured bacterium. RNAcentral's name for it is "partial 16S ribosomal RNA". It matches the Rfam family "Bacterial small subunit ribosomal RNA", at positions 28 to 523 of the family's 1533-position model. The record is from RNAcentral.